UGAAAAACCCACUUUUUUAUCCAUUAACACAGUGUGUUUCACAUUUUAAGUAUCUAAGUGAGCAAAAAGGCUUAUAUUAUUCACUGGAGUUGCUAUUUAGAUAUUUAAUAAUUAAGUUUUGGGCAUAUUUGUCCACCCGUUCAGUUUUUACAUAAUCUAUUACAUCAGUAAUUAAUUUAGUGAGGAUAACUACCAAAUAUGGUAAUGGCCCUCGGCUAAACACAGAGCCAAUCCGCCAUUUUUUCUUCUCGCUAAGAUUUUUUGUAGUCCUAUUGGAAAAAUGCAGAAUGUCUGGUUAUUUUAGCCACACACAGCUCAAAACUGUUCCUCGUUUUAAGGAAGGGUGGUGUGGCAGUAUUUAAACCCAGGAGCUGAUGACACUACUGCUAAAAAAACACAGAAGAAAAAGUAGUGUGUUUGUGUUUGUGUUUGUGUGUGUGUGUGUGUGUGUGUGUGUGCGUGUGUGCGCGCGCGUGGUUCGUUCUUUCGUGUCUUCAGGCUAGUAAGUACUGAGGGCUUCAUCUAUCUAAAAGGAGUCAUUUUUAUCUGAAUGUGGCAGCACCGGGACACAGCAGCAGAGCGAAUAUGACGAUGACAUCAUGGAACUGGUCUUUGGAAAAGUUUUCCCUGAACCAACUCCGUUUCUAGAUGAGGUAGAGAAGAUCUGCAUCUCACCAACUCUCUGGUCUCAGUAUUCAGACAACGGAGGUCUCCCACUGUUAUCCAGGACCAGUUUGAAGCCCACAUACUGCCCCUCCCUCAUCAUCAGGAAACAUCAAUCCGUAUCCUGAGGACAACAGAAGACGGCAGGAGGACAGGAACUCUGAGACCUAGACACCACCAGCACCGAGACACAAAGCACCUGUGUGCACAACGCCUGUUUUAACUACUAAAGCCUGUUUAUUAUAUUGUUCUACUUAUUUGCUGUGAGGUUAAUACUUAGAAAAUUUGUAUAUUAAUGUAAACAAUUAAAAAAAAUCACUGAUUGUAUGUUUUCUUUUAGAUGUAAUGGUCCAAACUCAGCCUUGUAGACAUUUAUUGCAUCCUGUAGGUAAAUACACAGAACAGGCUCAGGUCCAGGAUGACCCAGCAUGCUCUUCUUCCAUUCUGGCUGUUAGGGAUUGUAUCAAUAACUCAAUGCCUACUGAUGUUUUCACCUAACGGUAUUUAUUUAGAAUGCAGGUAAGAUUUAACUAUAUUUGUUAGCAAAGCAGACUGAUCUUGGGAAUUUCACUGCAGCACUGAUGUCCACCUCUCUGUACACAUUAGAGAGAAUUACCACUUUACAGCUAAACACAUUUAAUAAAGAUAUAGGCUACGCAUUGCAGACAAUAAAAACAAAGUUGUAAGCAUUAGAAUUAUAAUGAUCACAUUAAAGAACAUUUGGAGGAA
Molecule: non-coding RNA, 1392 nt
Organism: Nothobranchius furzeri (turquoise killifish)
Lineage: Eukaryota; Metazoa; Chordata; Actinopteri; Cyprinodontiformes; Nothobranchiidae
Source: RefSeq, a predicted model, not a curated record